RNAcentral lists this long non-coding RNA (1593 nucleotides) under Apteryx rowi (Okarito brown kiwi). RNAcentral's name for it is "lncRNA (ENSARWG00000016077.1)". Lineage: Eukaryota; Metazoa; Chordata; Aves; Apterygiformes; Apterygidae. The record is from RNAcentral.
GGAUGCUCGUGGUGGUGGCCUGGGCGCCCGUGGGUGCCUCUCGCCCGGUUUGGAUGCUCGUGGUGGUGGCGGUGGCUCAGGUGCCCAUGGCGGUGGCCAUGGCAGUGAGUUGGGUGCUCGUGGCCAUGGUUCAGGCAGCCAUAGGUGCUUCUCACCCGGUUUGAACGCUCAUGGCCAUGAUGAUGGCCAUGGAGGUGGCUUGGGCACCCAUGGCCAUGGUGGUGACCAAGACAGUGGCCCAAGUGCUCAUGGUGGUGGCUUGAGCGCUCAUGACCAUGAUUCAGGCGCCCGUAGGUGCUUUUCGUCCAGUUUGGCCGCUUAUGGUCAUGGUAAUGGUCAUGAAGGUGACUUGGGUGCUCAUGACGAUGGCCUUGUCGGUGGCUUGGGUGCUCGUGGCCAUGGCUUGGGCGCUCGUGGUGGUGGCCAUGGCAGUGGCUCAGGCGCCCGUAGGUGCUUCUCACCCAGUUUGGCCGCUCGUGGUCACAGCGAUGGCCAUGGAGGUGGUUUGGGCCCUCAUGGCCAUGACGGUGACCAAGACGGUGGCCCAAGUUCUCGUGGUGGUUGUUUGAGCGCUCACGACCAUGGCUCGGGCACCCGUAGGUGCUUUUUAUCCAAUUUGGCCACUCAUGGCCAUGGCGAUGGCCAUGGAGGUGGCUUGGGCGCUCGUGGUGGUGGCCAUGGUAGUGGCUCAGGCGCCCGUAGGUGCUUCUCAUCCAGUUUGGCCGUUCAUGGCCGUGACGAUGACCAUGGAGGUGGCUGGGGCACUCAUGGACACGGUGGUGACCAAGACAGUGGCCCAAGUUCUCGUGGUGGUUGCUUGAGCGCUGAUGACCACAGCUCGGGCACCUGUAGGUGCUUUUCAUCCAGUUUGGCCGCUCAUGGCCAUGACGAUGGUCUUGUUGGUGGCUUGGGUGCUCAUGGUGGUGGCCAUGGCAGUGGCUCAGGCGCCCGUAGGUGCUUCUCACCCAGUUGGGCCACUCAUGGUCACGACGAUGGUCAUGGAGGUGGCUUGGGUGCUCAUGGCGGUGGCCAUGGCAGUGGCUCAGGCGCCCGUAGGUGCUUCUCACCCAGUUUGGCUGCUCAUAGCCACGACGAUGGCCAUGGAGGUGGCUUGGGUGCUCAUGGCGAUGGCCAUGGAGGUGGCUUGGGUGCUCAUGACGAUGGCCAUGGAGGUGGCUUGGGUGCUCGUGGUGGUGGCCGGGGCACCCAUGGGUGCUCUUUGCCCGCAGCUACAAGUUGUGGUACAACUACCUGAAGCAGCGGCGGAAGCAGGUGAAGCACAAGUGCGUGAGCGACCCGGCCUACGAGGAGGUGAACAACUGCCACGAGCGCGCCCUCGUCUUCAUGCACAAGUUCGUGCGCCGGCACCCGCUGCCCGAGACCGCCGUGCGCGUCUACCGCCGCUACCUGAAGCUGAGCCCGGAGAACGCGGAGGAGUACAUCGAGUACCUGCGCUCCAUCGACCGCCUGGACGAGGCCGCCGUGCGCCUGGCCGUGGUCGUUAACGACGAGAGGUUCGUCUCCAAGGAGGGCAAGUCGAAUUACCAGCUGUGGCACGAGCUGUGCGACCUCAUCUCGCAGCACCCCGACAAG